Molecule: long non-coding RNA, 223 nt
Filed under: Sorghum bicolor (sorghum)
Lineage: Eukaryota; Viridiplantae; Streptophyta; Magnoliopsida; Poales; Poaceae
Description: long non-coding RNA (SBIC_LNC011241)
Source: RNAcentral
CGCAAAAGCUAGGUGACCUCGCACCAGGUACACCAGGUCAUCAAAUGGUAAACAAAUUAUACGUGUGUCUUUAUUAAUUUAUUCGGUGAUACCAGCAGGUCAUCCACGUACACAUAUACAUAGGUAGUAGGUGCACUAGUAGAGAGUGGAACUGGACACAUCACACACACACACACAUGAAGGUAUACUACAUAACGGAUACCGUACUGCCUGCCCACACAUG